UUCAAGGAAGAUGUGUAUAACAGGGGACACGUAAAAUAUUUGUGUUGGAAUACGUAUGUAUAAAUUAUGUGUAUAUAUAAUUGGUGACAUGUAAUAUACAUGCAUGCAUACCAAAAUAAUUAAAAAUAAAAAGGGCUGUGGGGGAAGAACAAAGAGAGGGAGGUACGAGAAUCCCGCAUCCUACGGGCUACGGUCAAUGAGAUGGGACGUCAGAUUUGACGAUUAACAGUUAAAACAAUAAAUAAAAAGCAAAGAAACACGAGAUUGGACCCACC
This 275-nucleotide long non-coding RNA is filed under the name Gossypium raimondii (Peruvian cotton). RNAcentral describes it as "long non-coding RNA (GRAI_LNC000447)". The record is from RNAcentral. Lineage: Eukaryota; Viridiplantae; Streptophyta; Magnoliopsida; Malvales; Malvaceae.